Molecule: long non-coding RNA, 935 nt
Organism: Homo sapiens (human)
Lineage: Eukaryota; Metazoa; Chordata; Mammalia; Primates; Hominidae
Gene: LINC-ROR
Product: long intergenic non-protein coding RNA, regulator of reprogramming
Source: Ensembl
GCUCAUGAAAUUUGGUGAUGUGACUCGGAUAGGGGGACCUCCCUUGGGAGAUCAGUACCCUGUCCUCCUGCUCUUUGCUCCGUGAGAAAGAUCCACCUACAACCUCAGGUCCUUAGACCAACCAGCCCAAGAAACAUCUCACCAAUUUCAAAUCCAGACCCCACUGGAAAUCGGACUGUCCAACUCACCUGACAGCCACUCCCACAGCCGCUGGAACUCUGGCCCAAGGCUCUCUGACUCCUUCCCAGAUCUUCUUGGCUUAGCGGCUGAAGACUGACGCUGCCCGAUCGCCUCGGAAGCCCCCUAGACCAUCACGGACGCCGAGCUUCGGGUAACUCUCACAGUGGAAGGGAAAACCAAACAUUGUCAAGAGGAGAGGAAGCCUGAGAGUUGGCAUGAAUCAGAGUGCUGGGCAGUCUGGAGUCUUCCCCACUGAGUUGAUGAUGGAACAGUAGAGUGGGGCCUGAGCCCCGUUAGGGCAUGAGCUGCUGAAUGAUUCAUGUGAACACCAUGCACAUGGGAGUGAGGUUUUGAGCAGUGUGCCACAGGAGCCUACCCUCAGGCCCCACCAUAAAAUGUAGGGCCAGUCCUACAUUUUAUCAAUGACUUGCGUGAACACAGAAAAUGUGGAUACAACCAAAAGGUAACAAUCCAAUUAAAAAAUGGACAAAAAACUUGAAUAAACAUUUCUCAAAAGAAGAUAUACAAAUGAUCAAAAAGCAUAUGAAAAAAUGCUCAACAUCGCUAAUUGUAAGAGAAAUGCAAAUCAAAACUAUAAUGAGAUACCACCUUAUAUUGAUUAGGAAGACUGCUAUAAAAAUAGUAAACAAACAAACAAACAAAGUAAGUCUUGGGGAGGAUGCAGAGAAAUUAAAAUUUUUGUGCACUGUUAGUGGGAAUGUAAAAUGGUGCAGCUGUUACGGGAAACGGUAUGA